Molecule: long non-coding RNA, 1536 nt
Organism: Homo sapiens (human)
Lineage: Eukaryota; Metazoa; Chordata; Mammalia; Primates; Hominidae
Gene: LPAL2
Product: lipoprotein(a) like 2 (pseudogene)
Source: Ensembl
AGUGUCCUCCCGGAGGCCUAGGGCCCGCUGCGGCUCCCACCCUGGCGACCCUGGAUUGCUCUCCUCACUCUCAGCCUCACGCCCCACUUCUUCCACCCCAAAUUUUGCGGCCUCAGAAGGACACGAACUAUCUGCUGGCUGAAGUCGCUUGGGACAAAACCCGCCACAGGAUUUUGGGAGCCGGGCACUCCCUCCCACGGGAGGCGAGGGCAAAAUGUGGGGUCUGCUGCCCCCUGCCGGCCUGGCUGAUGUUUGCUUCUGUUUCCACGCUGCCCAGCAAUGUUCCAGGUGGAGCUUGUGGAAGCACCGACUGAGACAGGGCCUUCUGUGCAGGAGUGCUACCACAGUAAUGGACAGAGUUAUCGAGGCACAUACUUCACCACUGUCACAGGAAGAACCUGCCAAGCUUGGUCAUCUAUGACGCCACACCAGCACAGUAGAACCCCAGAAAAGUACCCAAAUGAUGGCUUGAUCUCGAACUACUGCAGGAAUCCGGAUUGUUCGGCAGGCCCUUGGUGUUAUACGACGGAUCCCAAUGUCAGGUGGGAGUACUGCAACCUGACACGGUGCUCAGACGAUGAAGGGACUGUGUUCGUGCCUCUGACUGUUAUCCCAGUUCCAAGCCUAGAGGAUUCAUUCAUACAAGGUAAGAAGUCUGUGGCCAGACAUCUCCACGCUUAGACACUAAGAAGAAAAGCCAUGGAAACUCCCACUGAUGCAGAAGGCUUCAUUCUACACAGGUGCUCCAAUGUUGAUUGAGGAUCUGCCAUUUUGGAGGAAUCCUCAGUGCAGUGUCUGGGGGAGCCAGAGGAGUAAUUUUUGGUGCAGCAUGAGUGGGCUGUGUCUUUGGAUAGGCACAAACCCUCCAGGGUGCUCGACAUCACCACUCACUUCAUUGUAAAAUGAGUUAUCUCAGUGUCCAGUCCAAAAUUCCUGUUGUAACAUGCUGUCAGAUAUGUGUCUCUUUCCAAUGCAGUAAGCUUCUCCAGGGAUUUCUUCAAGUAGACAACAUUCAGUGCAAUCUUCAUCAUCACAGAUUCUCAGAAAUGUGUGGCUUUCAAGCCCGUGAAUCUUGAGAAACUUAACAGGGCUGCAUUAAUUCCAUGUUGCCCUUGCAUCAUGGAGCAUUACAUGAGCUCCCAAGGCUCUAUCUUUCAGGCCUUCCUCAGACCUGGGCAAGAUUUGCAGGCCUAGGCUUUGAAGUGAGUGAUUUCUCAGUGUUCCUGCACCUUUUUCUAAUGGAAGUUGUACUUGUGGGGGGUCUGGAGAGAAAGAGUAGGAGACUUCUGCUUUAUUGCAAUGCAGGAUGUGGGGCAUGAGAAAAUUCCAUCUCUCUUCCAAUGGGAUAAGAUUUUGGCCUCCACCCAUCCUUAUGAAGCAAACUAUUUUUGCCUGCAGUCCUAGACGCACAACCGUUUUCUUCCCAAUCUGCCAGAAGCCAGAAGCUGAAGGCCUUGGCUCUCGUGAUCAAUGGUCUAGGGAAACGUGCGAGGUUUCCAUGUCUGUCCCCACCUCCGCCCUCAGCAGCCAAUCACC